Molecule: long non-coding RNA, 362 nt
Filed under: Lepisosteus oculatus (spotted gar)
Lineage: Eukaryota; Metazoa; Chordata; Actinopteri; Semionotiformes; Lepisosteidae
Description: lncRNA (ENSLOCG00000021591.1)
Source: RNAcentral
CCUGUAGUUGCUACACUCAAAUGCCAUGAGCAAGAAACCAUCCUAGGAUUCACAACCCUUCUCCUGUACUUCAGAGUCCCAGCCUUCACACUACAGAGUACAGCAUCUACGGUCUCGUCUUUCUUUGGUGCACAGCAGCGCAUAACCUGAACCGGCUCACAAAACCAAAACGCAGGCCCUGGUUGAGCUGUAAUCUCCUGACUCUCUGCAGUGUGGGGUGGAAUUCUGCCCACUGGAUGAUCACUGCUGAUUGUCUGUGAAGAACUGUUACUUCUGUCUGAUAGCAAUAUUCUUCAGGAGGUAUUCUAUUUGUAAUAUACCAUCAGUCCACAAAAGCAGACUACUGCUUUUUUGGUUUUUCA